This 253-nucleotide ribosomal RNA is filed under the name uncultured bacterium. RNAcentral's name for it is "partial 16S ribosomal RNA". It matches the Rfam family "Bacterial small subunit ribosomal RNA", at positions 524 to 776 of the family's 1533-position model. The record is from RNAcentral.
UACGGGGGGGGCAAGCGUUGUUCGGAAUUACUGGGCGUAAAGGGCUCGUAGGUGGCCAACUAAGUCGGACGUGAAAUCCCUCGGCUUAACCGGGGAACUGCGUCCGAUACUGGUUGGCUUGAGUUUGGGAGAGGGAUGCGGAAUUCCAGGUGUAGCGGUGAAAUGCGUAGAUAUCUGGAGGAACACCGGUGGCGAAGGCGACUUCCUGGCCUGUUCUUGACGCUGAGGCGCGAAAGCUAGGGGAGCAAACGGG